This 428-nucleotide ribosomal RNA is filed under the name uncultured prokaryote. RNAcentral's name for it is "bacterial SSU rRNA". It matches the Rfam family "Bacterial small subunit ribosomal RNA", at positions 355 to 774 of the family's 1533-position model. The record is from RNAcentral.
UGAGGAAUUUUGCGCAAUGGGAGCAAUCCUGACGCAGCAACGCCGCGUGGGUGAUGAAGGCCUUCGGGUCGUAAAGCCCUGUCAGGUGGGAAGAAUGUCCCGGGACUGAACAGGUUCCGGGAGUGACGGUACCACCAGAGGAAGCACCGGCUAACUCCGUGCCAGCAGCCGCGGUAAUAAGGAGGGUGCAAGCGUUAUUCGGAAUUACUGGGCGUAAAGAGCGUGUAGGCGGUCCUGCAAGUCUGAUGUGAAAGCCCCGGGCUUAACCCGGGAAGUGCAUUGGAAACUGUGGGACUUGAGUACUGGAGAGGAUGGGGGAAUUCCCGGUGUAGAGGUGAAAUUCGUAGAGAUCGGGAGGAAUAUCAGUGGCGAAGGCGCCCAUCUGGACGGUAACUGACGCUGAGACGCGAAAGCGUGGGGAGCAAACA